Molecule: ribosomal RNA, 1540 nt
Filed under: Staphylococcus aureus H32175
Lineage: Bacteria; Bacillati; Bacillota; Bacilli; Caryophanales; Staphylococcaceae
Description: 16S ribosomal RNA
Rfam family: Bacterial small subunit ribosomal RNA
Source: RNAcentral
AGAGUUUGAUCCUAGCUCAGGAUGAACGCUGGCGGCGUGCCUAAUACAUGCAAGUCGAGCGAACGGACGAGAAGCUUGCUUCUCUGAUGUUAGCGGCGGACGGGUGAGUAACACGUGGAUAACCUACCUAUAAGACUGGGAUAACUUCGGGAAACCGGAGCUAAUACCGGAUGAUAUUUUGAACCGCAUGGUUCAAAAGUGAAAGACGGUCUUGCUGUCACUUAUAGAUGGAUCCGCGCUGCAUUAGCUAGUUGGUAAGGUAACGGCUUACCAAGGCAACGAUGCAUAGCCGACCUGAGAGGGUGAUCGGCCACACUGGAACUGAGACACGGUCCAGACUCCUACGGGAGGCAGCAGUAGGGAAUCUUCCGCAAUGGGCGAAAGCCUGACGGAGCAACGCCGCGUGAGUGAUGAAGGUCUUCGGAUCGUAAAACUCUGUUAUUAGGGAAGAACAUAUGUGUAAGUAACUGUGCACAUCUUGACGGUACCUAAUCAGAAAGCCACGGCUAACUACGUGCCAGCAGCCGCGGUAAUACGUAGGUGGCAAGCGUUAUCCGGAAUUAUUGGGCGUAAAGCGCGCGUAGGCGGUUUUUUAAGUCUGAUGUGAAAGCCCACGGCUCAACCGUGGAGGGUCAUUGGAAACUGGAAAACUUGAGUGCAGAAGAGGAAAGUGGAAUUCCAUGUGUAGCGGUGAAAUGCGCAGAGAUAUGGAGGAACACCAGUGGCGAAGGCGACUUUCUGGUCUGUAACUGACGCUGAUGUGCGAAAGCGUGGGGAUCAAACAGGAUUAGAUACCCUGGUAGUCCACGCCGUAAACGAUGAGUGCUAAGUGUUAGGGGGUUUCCGCCCCUUAGUGCUGCAGCUAACGCAUUAAGCACUCCGCCUGGGGAGUACGACCGCAAGGUUGAAACUCAAAGGAAUUGACGGGGACCCGCACAAGCGGUGGAGCAUGUGGUUUAAUUCGAAGCAACGCGAAGAACCUUACCAAAUCUUGACAUCCUUUGACAACUCUAGAGAUAGAGCCUUCCCCUUCGGGGGACAAAGUGACAGGUGGUGCAUGGUUGUCGUCAGCUCGUGUCGUGAGAUGUUGGGUUAAGUCCCGCAACGAGCGCAACCCUUAAGCUUAGUUGCCAUCAUUAAGUUGGGCACUCUAAGUUGACUGCCGGUGACAAACCGGAGGAAGGUGGGGAUGACGUCAAAUCAUCAUGCCCCUUAUGAUUUGGGCUACACACGUGCUACAAUGGACAAUACAAAGGGCAGCGAAACCGCGAGGUCAAGCAAAUCCCAUAAAGUUGUUCUCAGUUCGGAUUGUAGUCUGCAACUCGACUACAUGAAGCUGGAAUCGCUAGUAAUCGUAGAUCAGCAUGCUACGGUGAAUACGUUCCCGGGUCUUGUACACACCGCCCGUCACACCACGAGAGUUUGUAACACCCGAAGCCGGUGGAGUAACCUUUUAGGAGCUAGCCGUCGAAGGUGGGACAAAUGAUUGGGGUGAAGUCGUAACAAGGUAGCCGUAUCGGAAGGUGCGGCUGGAUCACCU